UAAACACAGACUACUUUAGGCCCGGAAGUAGGAUUCGUCACGUCACCACUGAACAACUGGGUGUGCGUUCCUGCACAAAUAUUCAUGCCCUCGGCCCACGCCCUCAGAGAAAGGAGACACCUGAGCCUAAUCAAGGUUAUGAGCAUUUAAGCCAGGAGGUGACUGCUGUUCUUCGCUGGAUCGUUGUCUGCCACGCACUUCCUGGAUUCUUCCCCGUGUGAUUCUCGAGUGGCGAGUGUUGGAGUGAGAUCCUGCUGUGUGUGGAUUGUUUGGAGAACGCGUGCCUUCCCCUUGGAUUUCCCUGGAGCCCCGUCCCUCACUCUGUUGUACAAAGAACUUCCCUGCACCUUUUUGUAUAUACACUUGGUGGACUUGUAAAUACAACUCUCUCGUGUGAAUCUGAUCCUGGAGUCCUGCAAUUGAGUCCUCUACAUACAACCGUAACAAUAACGAUCCAGCCAGCAUGGACUCAGCGGACUCAACCCCAGAAGCAAUCUUGGAACGCCACGAAUAAACGCCACACCUUCCGUGGACCCGCUAAUGCUUCUACCGGCCGCACCACUCACGACCAGUCACUUAUCCAGCCUGUCUCAGCCUGAGCGUGAGAGCAUGGACAAGUACAUCAACGAGUCACAUACAGCAGCUCCGCGUUCGAGCUUCUCCAGGGGGCCACCAUCUUCAUUAAGUUGGACCUGUGCAACGCCCACCAUCUGGUAAGAAUAAGAGAAAGGGACGAGUGGAAAACAGCCUUUAACACUCACCUCAGCCAUUUUGAAUAUCUUGUUAUGCCGUUUGGUCUCACCAAUGCUCCAGCUGUUUUUCAGGCCCUUGUGAACGACGUGCUCCAGGACUUCAUCAACCUCUUUGUCUACCUGGAUGACAUCCUCAUCUUCUCCCGCUCUGUCACCGAACACCACCGCCAUGUCAGGCAAGUUCUUCAACCCCUCUUGAGAACCGUCUCUUUGUAAAAGGGGAGAAGUGUGAGUUCCAUGUCACUACUGUUUCCUUCCUGGGCUACGUCAUCGAACAAGGUAAUCUCAAAGCUGACCCUGUUCAAGCAGUUGUUAACUGGCUGACCCCGUCUAACCGUAAGCAACUCCAAAGUUUUCUGGGAUUUGCAAACUUCUACCAACGUUUCAUCUGCGACUACAGUAAACUUGCCUUGCCACUGAAUCGUCUCAUUUUACCCAAGGUUCCUUUCUGCUGGGAUGAACCGACUCGACAGGCCUUCACUCACCUGAAAGAACGCUUUGCCUCGGCACCCAUCCUCGUCCAACACAACCUCAGCCAACAGUUCAUCGUGUAGGUGGACGCCUCAGAUGCGGCAGUGGGGCGGUGCUCUCCCAGCAACAAGGCGGUAAGCUUCAUCCAUGUACUUACUUGUCUCACGCCUCUCCCCCGCAGAGAGAAACUAUGACGUGGGAGAUCGAGAACUACUGGCCAUCAAGCUCGCCCUGGAAGAGUGGCAUCACUGGCUGGUGGGCGCUGCCCAGCUAUUUGUGACGUGGACUGACCACAAGAACUUGGAGUACAUUCGGUCGGCUAAACAACUCAACGCCAGGCAAGCCAGGUGGGCCCUGUUCAUUACCAGAUUUACCAGGUUCCAGUAAUGUCAAGCCCAACGCUCUCUCACGCCAAUUCACCGCCUCCGAAGACACAGCUCAGGACUCCCCCAUUCUUCCUCCCACGUGUGUUAUUGGGGCCCUGACCUGGGAGAUCGAGUUGGCGAUUAGAGAGGCUCAACAGACUGAACCAGAUCUCGGAACGGGCCCUCCAGGGCUACUCUUCAUCCCCUCGUCAGUAAGGUCACAAGUGCUACAUUGGGCUCAUACUGCCAAGUUCACCUGUCACCCUGGGGUUCACCGCACAAUCACCUUUCUUCAACGCUUUGCUUGGUGACCAUCUCUCGCUAAGGAUGUCCGCAAAUACACUGCCGCCUGCCCAACCUGCGCUCAGAACAAAAAUGUCCAUCAACCAUUUUUCGGUCUCCUCCAGCCUCCAAGCCGCUCCUGGUUACACAUUGCUGUUGAUUUCAUCACUGGUCUGCCCACCUCGUCUGGUAACUCAGUCAUCCUCACCAUUAUCGAUCGCUUCUCUAAAGCUGCCCACUUAGUCGCCCUCCCUAAGCUCCCCACUGCACUAGAGACCGCCUGGCUCCUGACUAACCACGUUUUUCGCCUCCAUGGAAUCCCCGCGGACAUCGUUUCAGACGGGGCCGCAGUUUACGUCACGUGUCUGGAAGGAACUCUACAACGCCAUUGGAGCUUAGGUCAGUCUCUCCUCCGGUUUCGCACAGUUAGAGGUUGAGCUCUCCGUUUCGUUGCAGGGUCCCUUCAUUCUUCACAUAUCCAUGUCGAGCAGAGUGUAAAUCCCGAGGCUGGACAGCCUUUGUACGAGCACACAUGCAUCACUUUAUUAAAGUGCAAUUC
Molecule: long non-coding RNA, 2429 nt
Organism: Haplochromis burtoni (Burton's mouthbrooder)
Lineage: Eukaryota; Metazoa; Chordata; Actinopteri; Cichliformes; Cichlidae
Exons: 3
Source: RefSeq, a predicted model, not a curated record